This 126-nucleotide non-coding RNA is filed under the name Tumebacillus flagellatus. RNAcentral describes it as "SAM-I sequence". It matches the Rfam family "SAM riboswitch aptamer (S box leader)". Rfam says of the family: The SAM riboswitch is found upstream of a number of genes which code for proteins involved in methionine or cysteine biosynthesis in Gram-positive bacteria. The SAM riboswitch acts at the level of transcription termination control. Lineage: Bacteria; Bacillati; Bacillota; Bacilli; Caryophanales; Alicyclobacillaceae. The record is from Rfam by way of RNAcentral.
CUCUUAUCCAGAGUAGGCGGAGGGACUGGCCCGAUGAAGCCCGGCAACCGACACGCGGAUUUUUGCAAGUACGACGCGUGCACGGUGCCAAUUCCUGCAGGAUCACACGAUCCUGAGAGAUGAGAG